Tyto alba (common barn owl) is the source of this 366-nucleotide long non-coding RNA. RefSeq lists it as uncharacterized. The record is from RefSeq and is a predicted model, not a curated record. Lineage: Eukaryota; Metazoa; Chordata; Aves; Strigiformes; Tytonidae. The transcript is spliced from 3 exons.
CUUGUUACUCUAUUCAUCCACCCUCUAGCUUUCUGCUGAUGCAGCUAUAGCAGCUAAUGGCUCAAAACCCAGGAGUCAACAGGUAGUGAAAAGCCUGUCUGCAGACUGCUGUCGCAUGCCCACCACUGAAAUAGGGAAUUGCCAACAGGCAGUUACAACAAUCAUUUCCCAAUUGAUGGUAACCAAACACAUUUUCUGUGAAGAUGAUGUUGGAUUCUGGUGCAGAAUACAGCAAAUUCCCUAUUUGACCUUGCUGGUACUUUAUUAAGCAGAAGAUGAGAGAUCUGACAGCUGGUGUUACUACAGAAAUCUUCAGAAGACUUGUACUAUGCCCCUUAGAUGUGACAGAGUCCUUAAAUCGGUGCA